This 408-nucleotide long non-coding RNA is filed under the name Homo sapiens (human). Its description in RNAcentral is "HSALNT0142088". The record is from RNAcentral. Lineage: Eukaryota; Metazoa; Chordata; Mammalia; Primates; Hominidae.
AUUGAAUCAUGGAGCAAGUCUUUCCCAUGCUGUUCUUGUGACAGUGAAUAAGUCUCACAAGAUCUGACGGUCUUUAAAAGAGGAAUUCCCCUGCACAAGUUCCCUCUCUUUGCCUGCUAUCAUCUAUGUAAGACGUGACUUGCUGUACUUUGCCUUCUGCCAUGAUUGUGAGGCUUCACCAGCCCUGUGGAACUAUGUCAGAAGAGUUUGAAACCUCAGAUUUGUGAAGGUUUAAGCAAGGAAACUAUGCAAGAGUAUCACCAUGUGGUGGAAUACUGAAAUGGAAAAAGUAUGGACCUUGGACUUGGGAAGUUGGUAAGGGUUGUCAGACCCUCUACAAAUAUUCAGGAAAUUGAUACAGUAAUUUACUAAAAUCCACUCACUGAAUAAAAGUUUGCUGAACACCUG